GAGAACAAAAUCCCCAAUAAAGUACCAUACCUACCUAAUAUAUCAACCUACCCUAAAUCACCAUGCACCAUCGCCUUCGUACCAAGAUCCACCGCCUACUUACCAGUCAUCUCCACCUCCCACAUAUCAAAUUACCUCACCGAGAUAUUCCAAACUCGCACAUGUCUACCAAGCUUACAACACUCAACCCCUCAUUAUCAAUCAUCUCCCGCUCGUCAAAACUUUCCCAGACCUCGACCAAACUUUGACCGCAGGCCUCCAAAACAAUAUACCGCCAUUGCGGAACCGAUCGACC
RNAcentral lists this long non-coding RNA (295 nucleotides) under Nicotiana benthamiana. Its description in RNAcentral is "long non-coding RNA (NBEN_LNC017160)". The record is from RNAcentral. Lineage: Eukaryota; Viridiplantae; Streptophyta; Magnoliopsida; Solanales; Solanaceae.